UCGGACGUGGUGCACGGUACAUGCCCGCUCUAUCUGCCCACUGUAAAAGCUGAUGGCGGGAGCCCUGGGUUCGAUUCCCGGCGUCCGAA
This is a non-coding RNA of Mycena latifolia, 89 nucleotides long. The record is from the annotation of a GenBank genome assembly. Lineage: Eukaryota; Fungi; Basidiomycota; Agaricomycetes; Agaricales; Mycenaceae.